GAUGAACGCUGGCGGCGUGCCUAAUACAUGCAAGUCGAGCGAACGGACGAGAAGCUUGCUUCUCUGAUGUUAGCGGCGGACGGGUGAGUAACACGUGGAUAACCUACCUAUAAGACUGGGAUAACUUCGGGAAACCGGAGCUAAUACCGGAUAAUAUUUUGAACCGCAUGGUUCAAAAGUGAAAGACGGUCUUGCUGUCACUUAUAGAUGGAUCCGCGCUGCAUUAGCUAGUUGGUAAGGUAACGGCUUACCAAGGCAACGAUGCAUAGACGACCUGAGAGGGUGAUCGGCCACACUGGAACUGAGACACGGUCCAGACUCCUACGGGAGGCAGCAGUAGAGAAUCUUCCGCAAUGGGCGAAAGCCUGACGGAGCAACGCCGCGUGAGUGAUGAAGGUCUUCGGAUCGUAAAACUCUGUUAUUAGGGAAGAACAUAUGUGUAAGUAACUGUGCACAUCUUGACGGUACCUAAUCAGAAAGCCACGGCUAACUACGUG
Molecule: ribosomal RNA, 497 nt
Filed under: uncultured bacterium
Lineage: Bacteria
Description: partial 16S ribosomal RNA
Rfam family: Bacterial small subunit ribosomal RNA
Source: RNAcentral